Molecule: ribosomal RNA, 543 nt
Filed under: uncultured bacterium
Lineage: Bacteria
Description: bacterial SSU rRNA
Rfam family: Bacterial small subunit ribosomal RNA
Source: RNAcentral
AGAGAAUAGAUACCCAGGUAGUCCUGGCAGUAAACGGUGCACGUUUGGUGUGGGAGGUUUCGACCCCUUCUGCGCCGGAGCUAAACGCGUUAAACGUGCCGCCUGGGGAGUACGGUCGCAAGAUUAAAACCUCAAAGAAAUUGACGGGGGUCCCGCACAAGCGGUGGAGUAUGUGGCUUAAUUCGAUGCAACGCGAAGAACCUUACCUGGCCUUGACAUGCAUCUCUAAGUUGGUGAAAGCCAGCGAGUGUAGCAAUACACAAUUUGCACAGGUGCUGCAUGGCUGUCGUCAGCUCGUGUCGUGAGAUGUUGGGUUUAAGUCCCGCAACGAGCGCAACCCCGUGUGUCCUGUUGCCACCCGUCUGUAAACGAGGCGCACUCUGGACAGACUGCCCUGUGAAACCGGGGGUAGGAAGGUGGGGAUGACGUCAAGUCAGUAUGGCCCUUACGGCCAGGGCUGCACACGUACUACAAUGCCCAGCACAGAAUGAACCGAAACCGGCGAGGUGGAGGAAACUCUACUAAAACCUGGGCUCAGUUCGG